UACGGGGGGGGCAAGCGUUGUUCGGAAUUACUGGGCGUAAAGGGCUCGUAGGCGGCCAACUAAGUCGGACGUGAAAUCCCUCGGCUCAACCGGGGAAGGGGCGCCGAUACGAGUGGCCUGGAGGGAGGUAGGGGGAGCCGGAACUGCCGGUGGAGCGGUGAAAUGCGUUGAGAUCGGCAGGAACGCCCGUGGCGAAAGCGGGCUCCUGGACC
Molecule: ribosomal RNA, 212 nt
Filed under: uncultured prokaryote
Description: partial 16S ribosomal RNA
Rfam family: Bacterial small subunit ribosomal RNA
Source: RNAcentral